AUUGAACGCUGGCGGCAUGCCUUACACAUGCAAGUCGAACGGCAGCGCGGACUUCGGUCUGGCGGCGAGUGGCGAACGGGUGAGUAAUACAUCGGAACGUACCCUGUUGUGGGGGAUAACUAGUCGAAAGAUUAGCUAAUACCGCAUACGACCUGAGGGUGAAAGUGGGGGACCGCAAGGCCUCACGCAGCAGGAGCGGCCGAUGUCUGAUUAGCUAGUUGGUGGGGUAAAGGCCCACCAAGGCGACGAUCAGUAGCUGGUCUGAGAGGACGACCAGCCACACUGGGACUGAGACACGGCCCAGACUCCUACGGGAGGCGGCAGUGGGGAAUUUUGGACAAUGGGGGCAACCCUGAUCCAGCAAUGCCGCGUGUGUGAAGAAGGCCUUCGGGUUGUAAAGCACUUUUGUCCGGAAAGAAAUCGCGCUGGUUAAUACCUGGCGUGGAUGACGGUACCGGAAGAAUAAGCACCGGCUAACUACGUG
RNAcentral lists this ribosomal RNA (484 nucleotides) under uncultured bacterium. RNAcentral's name for it is "partial 16S ribosomal RNA". It matches the Rfam family "Bacterial small subunit ribosomal RNA", at positions 30 to 507 of the family's 1533-position model. The record is from RNAcentral.